GUACGGGAGGCAGCAGUGGGGAAUAUUGCACAAUGGGCGAAAGCCUGAUGCAGCUAUGCCGCGUGUAUGAAGAAGGCCUUAGGGUUGUAAAGUACUUUCAUCGGGGAGGAAAAAACAAAACUAAUAAUUUUAUUUCUUGACGUUACCCGAAAAAGAAGCACCGGCUAACUCCGUGCCAGCAGCCGCGGUAAUACGGAGGGUGCUAGCGUUAAUCAGAAUUACUGGGCGUAAAGAGCACGUAGGUGGUUUUUUUAAGUCAGAUGUGAAAUCCCUGGGCUUAACCUAGGAACUGCAUUUUGAAACUGAAAUACUAGAGUAUCGUAGAGGGAGGUAGAAUUCUAGGUGUAGCGGUGAAAUGCGUAGAUAUCUGGAGGAAUACCUGUGGCGAAAGCGGCCUCCUAAACGAAUACUGACACUGAGGGUGCGAAAGCGUGGGGGAGCAAACAGGGAUUAGAUACC
RNAcentral lists this ribosomal RNA (459 nucleotides) under uncultured bacterium. RNAcentral's name for it is "bacterial SSU rRNA". It matches the Rfam family "Bacterial small subunit ribosomal RNA", at positions 339 to 786 of the family's 1533-position model. The record is from RNAcentral.